RNAcentral lists this ribosomal RNA (444 nucleotides) under uncultured Sphingomonadaceae bacterium. Its description in RNAcentral is "bacterial SSU rRNA". It matches the Rfam family "Bacterial small subunit ribosomal RNA", at positions 335 to 797 of the family's 1533-position model. Lineage: Bacteria; Pseudomonadati; Pseudomonadota; Alphaproteobacteria; Sphingomonadales; Sphingomonadaceae. The record is from RNAcentral.
UCCCUACGGGAGGCAGCAGUGGGGAAUAUUGGACAAUGGGCGAAAGCCUGAUCCAGCAAUGCCGCGUGAGUGAUGAAGGCCCUAGGGUUGUAAAGCUCUUUUACCCGGGAUGAUAAUGACAGUACCGGGAGAAUAAGCUCCGGCUAACUCCGUGCCAGCAGCCGCGGUAAUACGGAGGGAGCUAGCGUUGUUCGGAAUUACUGGGCGUAAAGCGCACGUAGGCGGCUUUGUAAGUUAGGGGUGAAAGCCCGGGGCUCAACUCCGGAAUUGCCUUUAAGACUGCAUCGCUUGAAUCCAGGAGAGGUGAGUGGAAUUCCGAGUGUAGAGGUGAAAUUCGUAGAUAUUCGGAAGAACACCAGUGGCGAAGGCGGCUCACUGGACUGGUAUUGACGCUGAGGUGCGAAAGCGUGGGGAGCAAACAGGAUUAGAUACCCUAGUAGUCGC